RNAcentral lists this ribosomal RNA (1227 nucleotides) under uncultured bacterium. RNAcentral describes it as "bacterial SSU rRNA". It matches the Rfam family "Bacterial small subunit ribosomal RNA", at positions 64 to 1291 of the family's 1533-position model. The record is from RNAcentral.
GAACGGUAACGGGCCUUCGGGUGCCGACGAGUGGCGAACGGGUGAGUAAUGCAUCGGAACGUACCUUUCAGUGGGGGAUAACGUAGCGAAAGUUACGCUAAUACCGCAUAUUCUGUGAGCAGGAAAGCAGGGGAUCGCAAGACCUUGCGCUGAUUGAGCGGCCGAUGUCAGAUUAGCUAGUUGGUGAGGUAAAGGCUCACCAAGGCGACGAUCUGUAGCGGGUCUGAGAGGAUGAUCCGCCACACUGGAACUGAGACACGGUCCAGACUCCUACGGGAGGCAGCAGUGGGGAAUUUUGGACAAUGGGGGCAACCCUGAUCCAGCCAUGCCGCGUGAGUGAAGAAGGCCUUCGGGUUGUAAAGCUCUUUCGGCCGGGAAGAAAUCGUAUGGGUUAAUACCCUGUGCGGAUGACGGUACCGGCAUAAGAAGCACCGGCUAACUACGUGCCAGCAGCCGCGGUAAUACGUAGGGUGCGAGCGUUAAUCGGAAUUACUGGGCGUAAAGCGUGCGCAGGCGGUUUUGUAAGACAGGCGUGAAAUCCCCGGGCUCAACCUGGGAACUGCGCUUGUGACUGCAAGGCUAGAGUACGGCAGAGGGGGGUGGAAUUCCACGUGUAGCAGUGAAAUGCGUAGAGAUGUGGAGGAACACCAAUGGCGAAGGCAGCCCCCUGGGUCGAUACUGACGCUCAUGCACGAAAGCGUGGGUAGCAAACGGGAUUAGAUACCCUGGUAGUCCACGCCCUAAACGAUGUCAACUAGGUGUUGGGUGGGUAAAACCAUUUAGUACCGUAGCUAACGCGUGAAGUUGACCGCCUGGGGAGUACGGCCGCAAGGUUAAAACUCAAAGGAAUUGACGGGGACCCGCACAAGCGGUGGAUGAUGUGGAUUAAUUCGAUGCAACGCGAAAAACCUUACCUACCCUUGACAUGCCACUAACGAAGUAGAGAUACAUUAGGUGCCCGAAAGGGAAAGUGGACACAGGUGCUGCAUGGCUGUCGUCAGCUCGUGUCGUGAGAUGUUGGGUUAAGUCCCGCAACGAGCGCAACCCUUGUCUUUAGUUGCUACGCAAGAGCACUCUAGAGAGACUGCCGGUGACAAACCGGAGGAAGGUGGGGAUGACGUCAAGUCCUCAUGGCCCUUAUGGGUAGGGCCUCACACGUCAUACAAUGGUCGGAACAGAGGGUUGCCAACCCGCGAGGGGGAGCUAAUCUCAGAAAACCGAUCGUAG